GACGUUAGCGGCGGACGGGUGAGUAACACGUGGGCAACCUGCCUGUAAGACUGGGAUAACUUCGGGAAACCGAAGCUAAUACCGGAUAGGAUCUUCUCCUUCAUGGGAGAUGAUUGAAAGAUGGUUUCGGCUAUCACUUACAGAUGGGCCCGCGGUGCAUUAGCUAGUUGGUGAGGUAACGGCUCACCAAGGCAACGAUGCAUAGCCGACCUGAGAGGGUGAUCGGCCACACUGGGACUGAGACACGGCCCAGACUCCUACGGGAGGCAGCAGUAGGGAAUCUUCCGCAAUGGACGAAAGUCUGACGGAGCAACGCCGCGUGAGUGAUGAAGGCUUUCGGGUCGUAAAACUCUGUUGUUAGGGAAGAACAAGUACAAGAGUAACUGCUUGUACCUUGACGGUACCUAACCAGAAAGCCACGGCUAACUACGUGCCAGCAGCCGCGGUAAUACGUAGGUGGCAAGCGUUAUCCGGAAUUAUUGGGCGUAAAGCGCGCGCAGGCGGUUUCUUAAGUCUGAUGUGAAAGCCCACGGCUCAACCGUGGAGGGUCAUUGGAAACUGGGGAACUUGAGUGCAGAAGAGAAAAGCGGAAUUCCACGUG
Molecule: ribosomal RNA, 601 nt
Filed under: Bacillus sp. (in: firmicutes)
Lineage: Bacteria; Bacillati; Bacillota; Bacilli; Caryophanales; Bacillaceae
Description: bacterial SSU rRNA
Rfam family: Bacterial small subunit ribosomal RNA
Source: RNAcentral